This 497-nucleotide ribosomal RNA is filed under the name uncultured bacterium. Its description in RNAcentral is "partial 16S ribosomal RNA". It matches the Rfam family "Bacterial small subunit ribosomal RNA", at positions 28 to 507 of the family's 1533-position model. The record is from RNAcentral.
GAUGAACGCUGGCGGCGUGCCUAAUACAUGCAAGUCGAGCGAACAGACGAGGAGCUUACUCCUCUGACGUUAGCGGCGGACGGGUGAGUAACACGUGGAUAACCUACCUGUAAGACUGGGAUAACUUCGGGAAACCGGAGCUAAUACCGGAUAACAUGUUGAACCGCAUGGUUCAACAGUGAAAGACGGUCUUGCUGUCACUUAUAGAUGGAUCCGCGUCGCAUUAGCUAGUUGGUAAGGUAACGGCUUACCAAGGCAACGAUGCGUAGCCGACCUGAGAGGGUGAUCGGCCACACUGGAACUGAGACACGGUCCAGACUCCUACGGGAGGCAGCAGUAGGGAAUCUUCCGCAAUGGGCGAAAGCCUGACGGAGCAACGCCGCGUGAGUGAAGAAGGUCUUCGGAUCGUAAAACUCUGUUAUUAGGGAAGAACAAAUGUGUAAGUAACUAUGCACGUCUUGACGGUACCUAAUCAGAAAGCCACGGCUAACUACGUG